UAACAAUGAUUUCCCUAGUAACGGCGAGUGAAGAGGAAAGAGCUCAAAGUUGGAAACUGUUUGGCUUAGCUAAACCGUAUUGUAAACUGUAGAAACAUUUUCCUGGCACACCAGAUUAAUAAGUCCUUUGGAACAAGGCAUCAUGGAGGGUGAGAAUCCCGUCUUUGAUCUGAGUAGUUGUCUUUUGUGAUAUGUUUUCAAAGAGUCAGGUUGUUUGGGAAUGCAGCCUAAAUUGGGUGGUAAAUCUCACCUAAAGCUAAAUAUUUGCGAGAGACCGAUAGCGAACAAGUACCGUGAGGGAAAGAUGAAAAGAACUUUGAAAAGAGAGUUAAACAGUAUGUGAAAUUGUUAAAAGGGAACCGUUUGGAGCCAGACUGGUUUGCUUGUAAUCAACCUAGAAUUCGUUUUGGGUGCACUUGCAGGCUAUACCUGCCAACAACAGUUUGAUUUGGAGGAAAAAAUUAAUAGGAAUGUAGCCUCUCGAGGUGUUAUAGCCUAUUAUCAUACUCUGGAUUGGACUGAGGAACGCAGCGAAUGCCUUUAGGCAAGAUUGCUGGGUGCUUUCGCUAAUAAAUGUUAGAAUUUCUGCUUCGGGUGGUGCUAAUGUUUAAAGGAGGAACACAUCUAGUAUAUUUUUUAUUCGCUUAGGUUGUUGGCUUAAUGACUCU
This 668-nucleotide ribosomal RNA is filed under the name Mucor circinelloides. Its description in RNAcentral is "eukaryotic LSU rRNA". It matches the Rfam family "Eukaryotic large subunit ribosomal RNA", at positions 66 to 641 of the family's 3401-position model. Lineage: Eukaryota; Fungi; Mucoromycota; Mucoromycetes; Mucorales; Mucoraceae. The record is from RNAcentral.